Molecule: ribosomal RNA, 447 nt
Filed under: uncultured bacterium
Lineage: Bacteria
Description: bacterial SSU rRNA
Rfam family: Bacterial small subunit ribosomal RNA
Source: RNAcentral
CCAGACUCCUACGGAGGCAGCAGUGGGGAAUAUUGGGCAAUGGGCGCAAGCCUGACCCAGCAACGCCGCGUGAAGGAAGAAGGCCCUCGGGUUGUAAACUUCUUUUAUCAAGGACGAAACAAAUGACGGUACUUGAUGAAUAAGCCACGGCUAACUACGUGCCAGCAGCCGCGGUAAUACGUAGGUGGCAAGCGUUAUCCGGAUUUACUGGGUGUAAAGGGCGUGUAGGCGGGACUGCAAGUCAGAUGUGAAAACCAUGGGCUCAACCCAUGGCCUGCAUUUGAAACUGUACUUCUUGAGUACUGGAGAGGCAGACGGAAUUCCUAGUGUAGCGGUGAAAUGCGUAGAUAUUAGGAGGAACACCGGUGGCGAAGGCGGCUUUCUGGACUGAAACUGACGCUGAGGUACGAAAGCGUGGGGAGCAAACAGGAUUAGAUACCCUAGUAA